AUGAGAUGGAUCUGUACUGUACAUCACCAAAUCUCUAUACCGUCUCAUACAACGACGAUACAAGCAAGACUAAAGCAGGCACAUAUACACGAUUUCCAGUCAAAACACCGUAAGGGACCAAGAGGGAUCACCAAGGACCUUACCCAUGAGGGACGCCUCGAGGAGGUGGCGCGAGAAGAGGACCUGGUCGGUGGGAGAGAGGGCGGCGCCGCCUCCGGCCUCGGGGUCCCCGGCGCGGCCGCUGAUCUCGGCCAUGCUGUAGAGCGUGGAGGCGAGGAGCGUGAUGACGACGCCGGCAACGGUCUUGACGGCGACGGGCGCCCGGCGGCCGCGCUUGAGGCGGUCGAGGCCCAGCAUGGCGAGCUUCCGCAGCGGCGUCUUGAAUAG
RNAcentral lists this ribosomal RNA (387 nucleotides) under Triticum aestivum (bread wheat). Its description in RNAcentral is "partial small subunit ribosomal RNA". The record is from RNAcentral. Lineage: Eukaryota; Viridiplantae; Streptophyta; Magnoliopsida; Poales; Poaceae.